Molecule: long non-coding RNA, 585 nt
Filed under: Fukomys damarensis (Damara mole-rat)
Lineage: Eukaryota; Metazoa; Chordata; Mammalia; Rodentia; Bathyergidae
Description: lncRNA (ENSFDAG00000025358.1)
Source: RNAcentral
GGAGAGAGGUUGGAAGAAGAGUUGAAAAUGUUGUGUCAACUCACAUAAAAAUACAUCCAAAUUACAUGUUCGGCUGGACCUGAAGCACCAGAAUUAGAAGCUAUUCUUUGUUGUGUGAACCACGGAGUUGAGAUGGUCUUGAACAGUCGUCUAGGAUCUCUUAUUUUAGUAAGGCAUUUUAAAUGGAAGAUCACCUGGCCACACUGGGCACCUCCUCUUGGCCAAACACUUUGCAUCCAGUUUUGUUCAAGCCAUCUGUCCAAUUUCAAAUCACCGCUCUCCCAGCUCUACCUCUCAGAAUUAUUUAAAUCCCAAAGGUGCCACCUCCCAGGAAUCUUUCUCCUUCUCUAUCCAAGUCCCCGGAAAGCAUUGCCUUGACAGCAACUCUGAGGUCCUCGGAAUUUCACACCCAGCCUGGCAGAGGAUAGGUCAGUCCAUAAAGGCUUUCUGUCAUUGUGACAAUAUUCACAUCUUAACCUUGUACUGUACUGAUGUGUGCUCCUCUUCAUUUCUACCCUCAAGAAGCCCACAGUCUUGGGAGAAAUAUUUCCACUCACUUUCUUAUGCCCACCACUCUCAAUCCAU